GAUGAACGCUGGCGGCGUGCUUAACACAUGCAAGUCGAACGGUGAACACGGAGCUGCUCUGUGGGAUCAGUGGCGAACGGGUGAGUAACACGUGAGCAACCUGCCCCUGACUCUGGGAUAAGCGCUGGAAACGGCGUCUAAUACUGGAUAUGUGACGUGACCGCCUGGUAUUCGUUUGGAAAGAUUUUUCGGUUGGGGAUGGGCUCGCGGCCUAUCCGCUUGUUGGUGAGGUAAUGGCUCACCCAGGCGUCGACGGGUAGCCGGCCUGGGAGGGUGAACGGCCACACUGGGACUGAGACACGGCCAGACUCCUACGGGAGGCAGCAGUGGGGAAUAUUGCACAAUGGGCGCAAGCCUGAUGCAGCAACGCCGCGUGAGGGAUGACGGCCUUCGGGUUGUAAACCUCUUUUAGCAGGGAAGAAGCGAAAGUGACGGUACCUGCAGAAAAAGCGCCGGCUAACUACGUG
RNAcentral lists this ribosomal RNA (467 nucleotides) under uncultured bacterium. Its description in RNAcentral is "partial 16S ribosomal RNA". It matches the Rfam family "Bacterial small subunit ribosomal RNA", at positions 28 to 507 of the family's 1533-position model. The record is from RNAcentral.